CAAAUUAGAGCUUGAAAAAAGUAUUUCAUUUACAUUGAAAAGAUAUUAUAAACAAUAAUUAAUUUGA
Molecule: transfer RNA, 67 nt
Filed under: Hemaris radians
Lineage: Eukaryota; Metazoa; Arthropoda; Insecta; Lepidoptera; Sphingidae
Description: tRNA-Val
Source: RNAcentral